GUAUUGCUUAAUGGUCCCAUCAGAAAUUGGCUCUGCUGAGCUAGGCAUUGCUUAUGCUAGCUUCCAUCAGCAGAGAAAUCAAAAUUAUGUUGAACAACAAGACCGUUUUGCACAUCAAAUCAAAGGGGAAGCUUUACUUCACAGAGCAAGGAUCUCGGUGUCUGAACGUUUUAAGUCAACGCAUUAGGAGCAUCUCUACUGUGACCGUGAUUAGAAAUAUACAGUCUUCAAGAAAAUCCUGAAAUUCUGAAAGGAAGAUGUACUAAAAGGCCCAGCAAGAAUGGUAGACACAUGGCCAUCCUGACACACUCCUGAGAUUCAGAAAUUGGGCUUCUCCAACUGCUUGUAGUAUUUGAACUGCCCUACAAGGAAAAUGGCAUUGUACUUUGUACUAGAGUAUCACACACAUUACUGAACUUAAAUUCCCCAGGUGACAAAUUGGGAAAUUGCCACAGUCUGUUUCUACACUCAUUUUUCACCAAGGUAAGAAGGUUUUCUUUUCCUUCUCUGUAUCAUUGCUCUCAUAUUGCUGCAGAGAUUCCAGAAAUAUGGUCCAACCUAUCCCCUAAGCAUAGCAUAGCACAUUUAAAAAAAUAAAAACAAUACAU
Dromaius novaehollandiae (emu) is the source of this 608-nucleotide long non-coding RNA. RefSeq lists it as uncharacterized. NCBI's taxonomy places the organism in Eukaryota, Metazoa, Chordata, Aves, Casuariiformes, Dromaiidae. The record is from RefSeq and is a predicted model, not a curated record. The transcript is spliced from 3 exons.